UCUGUGGAUCGUUACAUCAAAUGAGAGUAGUUGGUAGCAGAGAGAUCAACGUUACAACCAAAUCAGACGGGAUGAAGCAGAAA
Molecule: non-coding RNA, 83 nt
Filed under: unclassified sequences
Description: RAGATH-18 RNA
Rfam family: RAGATH-18 RNA
About the family: Actinobacteria, Firmicutes, Fusobacteria, Thermotogae (1 example). Nearby to self-cleaving ribozyme genes
Source: Rfam by way of RNAcentral